This 468-nucleotide ribosomal RNA is filed under the name uncultured bacterium. RNAcentral describes it as "partial 16S ribosomal RNA". It matches the Rfam family "Bacterial small subunit ribosomal RNA", at positions 28 to 507 of the family's 1533-position model. The record is from RNAcentral.
GACGAACGCUGGCGGCGUGCUUAACACAUGCAAGUCGAACGGAAAGGCCCUGCUUUUGUGGGGGGCUCGAGUGGCGAACGGGUGAGUAACACGGGAGUAACCUGCCCUGGACUUUGGGAUAACUUCAGGAAACUGGGGCUAAUACCGGAUAGGAGCGCCUGCUGCAUGGUGGGGGUUGGAAAUUUUAGGCGGUUGGGGAUGGACUCGCGGCUUAUCAGCUUGUUGGUGGGGUAGUGGCUUACCAAGGCUUUGACGGGUAGCCGGCCUGGGAGGGUGACCGGCCACAUUGGGACUGCGAUACGGCCCAGACUCCUACGGGAGGCAGCAGUGGGGAAUAUUGCACAAUGGGCGGAAGCCUGAUGCAGCAACGCCGCGUGCGGGAUGACGGCCUUCGGGUUGUAAACCGCUUUCGCCUGUGACGAAGCGUGAGUGACGGUAAUGGGUAAAGAAGCACCGGCUAACUACGUG